ACUACUUUUUAUAUCACACCCUUCAUUUCCACAUAAUAACAUCUCAUCAUCACUGUUUUCUAUACCACAGUAAUGUCCUGUGCAGUGAGUCCAGAUGGAGACAGGAUAUAUGUGAUCAACAACGACAGUAACCAGCUGGUCACCCUGUCCAGGGAUGGCACAGUGAUUUCCGCCCUAACUGUAUCUGCACUGGGCUCACCAACUGCACUACCUGGCCUACAUGUGACAGAUUCAGGACAAGUUCUGGUGUGUGGAUACUGGUCUGACAAAAUCUUCCAGGUUGACAAAGAUGGGAGACAGAUACUGGCAGAGGUGGUCACAAACAAUUAUGGUGUGACUCGCCCUAUGUCUGUCUACUGCAGUAAGAACACAGGCUCAAUCAUUGUAGGAAUGUGGGACAAUAAUGACAUCAUAGUGUUUAAGGCAGAGUGACUGUUGGAAAAGGAUGACGUUCAUGUAUAAUAAUUCUGAGUAAAUCCAUGAGACCAACAUAAUUAACAUUACUCUACCUUAUAUUACGGGACAGGGCAGAAUGUCCUGUACUAACAAGAUCAACUUGUACUUUCAAUUUCCAGGUUGAAAAAGCUCCCCUCCCCACUGCAUUUACAGUUGCGUUUAUGUGAUGCUAGUUUCAUCUUCAUACCUUAUGCUAUGGUUACCAUAUUCCCUUUGUUUUAAUUUUUAGUAUAGGAACUGCAGCUGGUCUCUUCUGUUGCAAGGCAGAGUCUGUUUGUCAGAUAUUUCAACAGUUGCUAUAAUUAAUAUUAAUUAAAUGUUAGGGGCCUAUCAGGGUCAUUAUCCACACUAUCACAACAUCCAAAUAUGAAAGGGUAGGCAGAUUUGAAUAAAAGCAAGGAACAGCGAGAAUCUGGGGAUAUGGAAUUGAGUGUAUACAUGUUAAAGUACAAAAAGUGUGAGUGAGUUAUUCUUUAAUUUAAUUGGUGACGGUGUAUAUAUUUAUAAUUUAAGAGUUUCAAUAAAAUGUAGUCUAUAUACUGUGUUGUGACUAUUCAAGAUAUAAACUGUCUCCAAGAAAAUUGUAACACCUAGACACAAAUUCCACAUGUACAUUUGCAAGGGCAAUAACUGUGCAAUGAAAGCAUGAGUUACAGUUCUUAUAUACUGGGCUUCCACUGCUUGACCACUUUGUACACAUUAAGUUCUAAGUUGCUACCUCGAAUAAUUACAAAGACAUGCUCUGGAAAAAUAUAAGUAUAAAAUACACAAAGGGGGCAAUAACUGUAAAUAUGGCAGCAAGAAUAGUGUCUUUGUGAAAGUUACAUCCCAUCCCCCCAAUUAGAUUGUGUAAUUUUCAAGAUAUUCUCCAGAAAAAAUUAAAGUAAAAUAAUAAACAAAGACAAAUAACUCUUAAAAUAUGAUUGCAAGAUUUAUGGUCCUUAUGCACUGCACAUCCCCCAAAUGAGAUAUGUUCUCUAUUAAGUUUAAAGUUGUUACCUAUUUUUUAUUUUUUAAUAAGAAUUCACAGAUUUCACAAAAAAUGAAGUUAUUUCACAGAAUUCACAAAGUAAUAAAAAAAGUUAUUUUUAAAACAAUAUGGAAGCAAAAGUAACAGUUUUUCAAGUAAUGUGCAAGGAAAAAACAUAUAUGCAAAAAGGGCAAUUUUGUAUUGGUGCAUUUAUUUAAUACCCUUAAUUUUGCCUUUGAAUUAAGUUAAAGCUGGAAGUAAUACAUAUUUCUUCAAUCUAAUCACUCAGGUCUCACACACUUCUGAUAAAUACCAGUUGAAGGCUAUCUCCCAUGAGUACCUCUUGAUUUCUGCUAAUUAAUUGCUAUAAAUCUUUUUAUUUCUGCAAAUUGCUAUAAAUCUUUUUAUUUCUGCAAAUUGCUAUAAAUCUUUUUAUUUCUGCAAAUUGCCAAAAAUCAUGGUCACUUCUGCAUAUUUUCAGAAAUUUGCAUACAGUCUUAUUUGAAUAGUAUAUAAAUGCGGUUUUGGGAAGAAAAAGGGGAGGAGAACAGAUGGAUGCUUUUAGUAUAGACUAUUGAAAUCUUGUGCCUUGAUAUCAACACUUUUACAUGUACUUUUCAUUACUAAUCAUAAUAGUGUAUUUCUUAAUGUACUUUUCUUAAAUAAAUGUGUGAUUGUGAAAUAAAAUUAGUUGAAGA
Dreissena polymorpha is the source of this 2124-nucleotide long non-coding RNA. RefSeq lists it as uncharacterized. The record is from RefSeq and is a predicted model, not a curated record. The transcript has 2 exons. NCBI's taxonomy places the organism in Eukaryota, Metazoa, Mollusca, Bivalvia, Myida, Dreissenidae.